UACAGAGGGUGCGAGCGUUACUCGGAAUUACUGGGCGUAAAGCGUGCGUAGACGGUAAUGUAAGUCAGAUGUGAAAGCCCCGGGCUCAACCUGGGAAUUGCAUUUGAGACUGCAUUGCUUGGGUGCGGAAGAGGGAAGCGGAAUUUCCGGUGUAGCGGUGAAAUGCGUAGAUAUCGGAAGGAACACCAGUGGCGAAAGCGGCGCACUGGGCCACAACUGACGCUGAGGCGCGAAAGCUAGGGGAGCAAACAGG
This 253-nucleotide ribosomal RNA is filed under the name uncultured bacterium. Its description in RNAcentral is "partial 16S ribosomal RNA". It matches the Rfam family "Bacterial small subunit ribosomal RNA", at positions 524 to 776 of the family's 1533-position model. The record is from RNAcentral.